Molecule: long non-coding RNA, 1418 nt
Filed under: Canis lupus familiaris (dog)
Lineage: Eukaryota; Metazoa; Chordata; Mammalia; Carnivora; Canidae
Description: lncRNA (ENSCAFG00040024643.1)
Source: RNAcentral
CCUCCCUGUCAGGGCCUCAAGGGAGCACCAGCCGCACACGGAGACUGUAAGGGGCUGGGAGAGGCACCCUGUAGGUUGAGAUCCGGAGGGACAGAGAGUCAGACCUAGAUGACCACGGUGGAGCGGGAGGGAGGGGCUCAGGCAGGGGCAGCACCCCAAAGGGGAGGACCUGGGGGAGCACAGUGACCCAGAGAAGGCUGCAGGCCAGCAGCCUGUGAACUUUGAGUUUCCGCAGGACAACAAGUGAUUUGGAACCUACUGGAGAACCCCGUACUCCCAGGAACUGCUGUCCUAUACUGUCAUUUGCUCAGUCUGUCUGACUUUGUGUAGGACACACUCCCAGGAGGCUCCAUUCAGGUCCCAGAGUGACAAGAUGAGCAGGCCUCAGGGUCCUUGGCCCCAGACCAUGUCUCUGACCCCAACCCGAGCCCCUUCCCCAGCACCCUGUCGUGCUCCCUGGAUGGUUUCUGGAAUGCUCCAAAGAGGAGUCAGGCUCACAGGGCGAGCCUGCUGCCGAGUAUCAGGAGCGGGUGGCACUGACCUUGAACUCUCGGGGGCGUCUUGGAAACACACACGUGACUCGGCAACAGCCCCCAAGGAGGGUGAUCUCUGCUUGCUCCUUGGGACAGACUAUCUGCAUCGCUGGUCAUUGCAACUGCAGAAGGUGCUGGGGGUUCAGCUUGUGGUUCCGAAUGUCGAAGGCAAAGCCGAGGCUCCGAGGGGAGGCCUGGGGGUGGGGAGCUGGGAGACAGCAGGGAGCCGGGGUCCUCCUCUGUCAGAGGGCAGGCCGGGGAGGCCGUGGGCGGUUGACUGGAGGGGAGGUGCACCUUCAGCCGGAGAGGGGACGAGCUGAGGCUGGGACCAGCGAUGUCCCUUCAAAGUCUGGGAGGACGGGAGGGGGGCCCAGGGGUGGACUCUCAGCAUCGUGGGCGGUGGCAAAGGUGCUGGGUGACGGCCGGGAACUCCAAGCCAGGGGGUGACCUGGGCACAGACCACAGGAGCGCAGAGGGACGGGCUCAGGUCACCCCCUGGCUUGGAGUUCCCGGCCGUCACCCAGCACCUUUGCCACCGCCCACGAUGCUGAGAGUCCACCCCUGGGCCCCCCUCCCGUCCUCCCAGACUUUGAAGGGACAUCGCUGGUCCCAGCCUCAGCUCGUCCCCUCUCCGGCUGAAGGUGCACCUCCCUCCAGUCAACCGCCCACGGCCUCCCCGGCCUGCCCUCUGACAGAGGAGGACCCCGGCUCCCUGCUGUCUCCCAGCUCCCCACCCCCAGGCCUCCCCUCGGAGCCUCGGCUUUGCCUUCGACAUUCGGAACCACAAGCUGAACCCCCAGCACCUUCUGCAGUUGCAAUGACCAGCGAUGCAGAUAGUCUGUCCCAAGGAGCAAGCAGAGAUCACCCUCCUUGGGGGCUGUUGCC